GAUGAAUGCUGGCGGCGUGCCUAACACGUGCAAGUCGAGCGGCAGCGAGGGGUGCUUGCACCCUGUCGGCGAGCGGCGAACGGCUGAGUAACGCGUAGGAAUUUGCCCCAAAGUGAGGAAUAACUGCCCGAAAGGGUAGCUAAUGCCGCAUAUGGUCUUCGGAUUAAAGGAUUUAUCCGCUUUGGGAGAAGCCUGCGUUGGAUUAGGUUGUUGGUAGGGUAAUGGCCUACCAAGCCGACGAUCCAUAGCUGGUCUGAGAGGAUGAUCAGCCAGACUGGAACUGAGACACGGUCCAGACUCCUACGGGAGGCAGCAGUGAGGAAUCUUCCACAAUGGGCGAAAGCCUGAUGGAGCAACGCCGCGUGAAGGAUGAAGGCCUUCGGGUUGUAAACUUCUUUUAUGAGUGAAGAAUAUGACGGUAACUCAUGAAUAAGCACCGGCUAACUACGUG
Molecule: ribosomal RNA, 451 nt
Filed under: uncultured bacterium
Lineage: Bacteria
Description: partial 16S ribosomal RNA
Rfam family: Bacterial small subunit ribosomal RNA
Source: RNAcentral